This 253-nucleotide ribosomal RNA is filed under the name uncultured bacterium. RNAcentral's name for it is "partial 16S ribosomal RNA". It matches the Rfam family "Bacterial small subunit ribosomal RNA", at positions 524 to 776 of the family's 1533-position model. The record is from RNAcentral.
UACGAAGGGGGCUAGCGUUGCUCGGAAUUACUGGGCGUAAAGGGCGCGUAGGCGGCGCAUUUAGUCAGGCGUGAAAGUCCUGGGCUCAACCUGGGAACUGCGCUUGAUACGGGUGUGCUAGAGGAUGGAAGAGGAUCGCGGAAUUCCCAGUGUAGAGGUGAAAUUCGUAGAUAUUGGGAAGAACACCGGUGGCGAAGGCGGCGAGCUGGUCCAUUACUGACGCUGAGGCGCGACAGCGUGGGGAGCAAACAGG